GACGAUCAGUAGUCGGCCUGAGAGGGUGACCGGCCACAUUGGGACUGAGACACGGCCCAAACUCCUACGGGAGGCAGCAGUGGGGAAUCUUCCGCAAUGGGCGAAAGCCUGACGGAGCAACGCCGCGUGAUCGAAUGAAGGCCUUCGGGUUGUAAAGAUCUGUUGACAGGGACGAAUAAGCAAUGCGAAUAGUUUUGUGUAUGACGGUACCUGUUUAGAAAGCUCCGGCUAACUACGUGCCAGCAGCCGCGGUAAUACGUAGGGAGCAAGCGUUGUCCGGAAUUACUGGGCGUAAAGGGCGCGUAGGUGGGCGCUUAAGUCAGGUGUGAAAACUCCGGGCUCAACCUGGAGACUGCACUUGAAACUGGGUGUCUUGAGGGCAGGAGAGGAAAGUGGAAUUCCUAGUGUAGCGGUGAAAUGCGUAGAUAUUAGGAGGAACACCAGUGGCGAAGGCGACUUUCUGGACUGUACCUGACGCUGAGGCGCGAAAGCGUGGGUAGCGAACGGGAUUAGAUACCCCGGUAGUCCACGCCGUAAACGAUGAAUACUAGGUGUAGGAGGUAUCGACUCCUUCU
This 575-nucleotide ribosomal RNA is filed under the name uncultured bacterium. RNAcentral describes it as "bacterial SSU rRNA". It matches the Rfam family "Bacterial small subunit ribosomal RNA", at positions 275 to 842 of the family's 1533-position model. The record is from RNAcentral.